Long non-coding RNA from Zingiber officinale, 224 nucleotides. RefSeq lists it as uncharacterized. The transcript has 3 exons. NCBI's taxonomy places the organism in Eukaryota, Viridiplantae, Streptophyta, Magnoliopsida, Zingiberales, Zingiberaceae. The record is from RefSeq and is a predicted model, not a curated record.
AGGAAGAUGUGAAGUUGAUGCAUGACAUGGGCCUGGAUGCCUACAGAUUCUCUAUCUCCUGGAGCAGAGUCAUUCCUAAUGGUAGAGGGCCAGUUAAUCCAGAAGGGGUGCAGUAUUAUAAUAACUUGAUCAAUGAACUCAAGAAAUAUGGAAUUGAACCUCAUGUCACUCUUCUUCACUUUAACCUCCCCCAAUCUUUGGAAGAUGAAUAUUCUGGACUCUUG